UACGAAGGGGGCUAGCGUUGUUCGGAAUCACUGGGCGUAAAGCGCACGCAGGCGGAUUGAUAAGUCAGGGGUGAAAUCCCGGGGCUCAACCUCGGAAUUGCCUUUGAUACUGUCUGUCUUGAGUCCGGGAGAGGUGAGUGGAAUUCCUAGUGUAGAGGUGAAAUGCGUAGAUAUCUGGAGGAAUACCGGUGGCGAAGGCGGCAUCCUGGACCGACAUUGACGCUGAGGAGCGAAAGCUAGGGGAGCAAACGGG
This 253-nucleotide ribosomal RNA is filed under the name uncultured bacterium. RNAcentral describes it as "partial 16S ribosomal RNA". It matches the Rfam family "Bacterial small subunit ribosomal RNA", at positions 524 to 776 of the family's 1533-position model. The record is from RNAcentral.